Molecule: ribosomal RNA, 492 nt
Filed under: uncultured bacterium
Lineage: Bacteria
Description: partial 16S ribosomal RNA
Rfam family: Bacterial small subunit ribosomal RNA
Source: RNAcentral
AGUGAACGCUGGCGGUAGGCCUAACACAUGCAAGUCGAACGGCAGCACAGUAAUAGCUUGCUCUUACGGGUGGCGAGUGGCGGACGGGUGAGGAAUACAUCGGAAUCUACUUUUUCGUGGGGGAUAACGUAGGGAAACUUACGCUAAUACCGCAUACGACCUACGGGUGAAAGCAGGGGAUCUUCGGACCUUGCGCGAUUGAAUAAGCCGAUGUCGGAUUAGCUAGUUGGCGGGGUAAAGGCCCACCAAGGCGACGAUGGCUAGCUGGUGUGGGAGGAUGAAGCGCGCCACUGGGAGUGAGACACGGUCCAGGCUCCUACGGGCGGCAGCAGUGGGGACUAUUGGCAGAUGGGGGCAAGCCUGCUCCAGCCAUACCGGCUUGGUGCAGAAGGCCUUCGUGUUGUAAAGCCCUUUUGUUGGGAUAGACAAGCAGCAGGUUAAUCCCCCGCUGUUCUGACGGUACCCAGAGAAUAAGCACCGGCUAACUUCGUG